GAUGAACGCUGGCGGCGUGCCUAAUACAUGCAAGUCGAGCGAACGGACGAGAAGCUUGCUUCUCUGAUGUUAGCGGCGGACGGGUGAGUAACACGUGGAUAACCUACCUAUAAGACUGGGAUAACUUCGGGAAACCGUAGCUAAUACCGGAUAAUAUUUUGAACCGCAUGGUUCAAAAGUGAAAGACGGUCUUGCUGUCACUUAUCGAUGGAUCCGCGCUGCAUUAGCUAGUUGGUAAGGUAACGGCUUACCAAGGCAACGAUGCAUAGCCGACCUGAGAGGGUGAUCGGCCACACUGGAACUGAGACACGGUCCAGACUCCUACGGGAGGCAGCAGUAGGGAAUCGUCCGCAAUGGGCGAAAGCCUGACGGAGCAACGCCGCGUGAGUGAUGAAGGUCUUCGGAGCGUAAAACUCUGUUAUUAGGGAAGAACAUAUGUGUAAGUAACUGUGCACAUCUUGACGGUACCUAAUCAGAAAGCCACGGCUAACUACGUG
Molecule: ribosomal RNA, 497 nt
Filed under: uncultured bacterium
Lineage: Bacteria
Description: partial 16S ribosomal RNA
Rfam family: Bacterial small subunit ribosomal RNA
Source: RNAcentral